Molecule: long non-coding RNA, 782 nt
Organism: Brassica rapa (field mustard)
Lineage: Eukaryota; Viridiplantae; Streptophyta; Magnoliopsida; Brassicales; Brassicaceae
Source: RefSeq, a predicted model, not a curated record
CAAUAAAACUCUUCGGAACGUUCACCGUGAAACCAUUACGGCAUGUACCGUUAUGAUUUUCAGACAAUGAGAUAAGACCUAUCUUGGGACAUGUAUGACUUGAAAGGUAAGGAAGAAAAGGGUCACAAUGGUAGAAUACAGUGAUAUUCUUGUAGGUUGGCAAAAGCUCAAAAAUUUGGGGAGGCAAGGUUGUGUUGGUGAACGCAGAGGAGCAAAAAGAGCCUAGAAAGUCUGGUCUGAGAAGCUCCAGCAACGGAUGGCCGCAAUUUCUGUGACGUGUCCCUCCCCAGAAUGGGAAACCGGCGGUGAUGUUACCACAUUCGAACAAAGUCUCACAUAAUUCAAGUUUACUUGAAGCACAAGGAAGAUGGUGGAAUAUGGAGAAGAGAAAGAAAAAGACCAGAGGAUACAUGGAGAUAAAGUACAUGAUUGGUUUGAUCUGUGAACAGUGAGCCCCUGGGUUAAAGGGAAACAAAAAGAGAGAGAUAGAUAAGAAGCAAGUAGAGAUGGUGAAGAACAAAGUCAAGCAACGAUAGUGACGGAUACAGAGAGAUCGGUCAAUGAUUAUCUAUUAUUUAUUUUGUGGUUUAGAACAUUAUAUGUAAUUAGUUCGUUCUAUAGUGAAGCUGACUAAACAAGAUCUAUGAGACUGGGAAAGUCAAAUACUAAGGAUAGUGACGGGUACAAAGAGAUUUGGAGUCUUUCUUAGGUGGACCUUUUGAAACGCGUUGUUUAGAUGAGAUAUUUCGACACUGAAAAGGUAAAAGAACCAGUUUGAAACU